CCUACACGACCGUACCGCAAACCGACACUGGUGCGCGAGAUGAGUAUUCUAAGGCGCUUGAGAGAACUCGGGAGAAGGAACUCGGCAAAUUGACACCGUAACUUCGGAAGAAGGUGUGCCUUUAGUAGGUGAAGGGAUUUACUCCUGGAGCCCAAUGAGGUUGCAAAAAAUCGGUGGCUGCGACUGUUUAUUAAAAACACAGCACUCUGCAAACACGAAAGUGGACGUAUAGGGUGUGACGCCUGCCCGGUGCUGGAAGAUUAAAUGAUGGGGUGCAAGCUCUUGAUUGAAGUCCCAGUAAACGGCGGCCGUAACAAUAACGGUCCUAAGGUAGCGAAAUUCCUUGUCGGGUAAGUUCCGACCUGCACGAAUGGCGUAACGAUGGCCACACUGUCUCCUCCCGAGACUCAGCGAAGUUGAAAUGUUUGUGAUGAUGCAAUCUCCCCGCGGAAAGACGGAAAGACCCCAUGAACCUUUACUGUAGCUUUGUAUUGGACUUUGAACAGAUCUGUGUAGGAUAGGUGGGAGGCUUUGAAGCAGGGUCGCUAGAUCUUGUGGAGCCAACGUUGAAAUACCACCCUGGUGUGUUUGAGGUUCUAACCUAGGUCCAUUAUCUGGAUCGGGGACAGUGCAUGGUAGGCAGUUUGACUGGGGCGGUCUCCUCCCAAAGCGUAACGGAGGAGUUCGAAGGUACGCUAGGUACGGUCGGACAUCGUGCUAAUAGUGCAAUGGCAUAAGCGUGCUUAACUGCGAGACUGACAAGUCGAGCAGAUGCGAAAGCAGGACAUAGUGAUCCGGUGGUUCUGUAUGGAAGGGCCAUCGCUCAACGGAUAAAAGGUACUCUGGGGAUAACAGGCUGAUACCGCCCAAGAGUUCAUAUCGACGGCGGUGUAUGGCACCUCGAUGUCGGCUCAUCUCAUCCUGGGGCUGUAGCCGGUCCCAAGGGUAUGGCUGUUCGCCAUUUAAAGAGGUACGUGAGCUGGGUUUAAAACGUCGUGAGACAGUUUGGUCCCUAUCUUCCGUGGGCGCUGCAGAUUUGAGGAAGCCUGCUCCUAGUACGAGAGGACCGGAGUGGACGCACCUCUGGUGUAUCGGUUGUCACGCCAGUGGCAUUGCCGAGUAGCUAUGUGCGGAAGAGAUAACCGCUGAAAGCAUCUAAGCGGGAAACUCGUUUCAAGAUGAGAUCUGCCGGGGCCUUGAGCCCCCUAAAGGGUCGUUCAAGACCAGGACGUUGAUAGGUCAGGUGUGGAAGCGCAGUAAUGCGUUAAGCUAACUGAUACUAAUUGCUCGUGCGGCUUGACCG
RNAcentral lists this ribosomal RNA (1303 nucleotides) under metagenome. Its description in RNAcentral is "bacterial LSU rRNA". It matches the Rfam family "Bacterial large subunit ribosomal RNA", at positions 1633 to 2925 of the family's 2925-position model. The record is from RNAcentral.